This 94-nucleotide transfer RNA is filed under the name Periconia macrospinosa. It matches the Rfam family "tRNA". From Rfam's summary of the family: Transfer RNA (tRNA) molecules are approximately 80 nucleotides in length. Their secondary structure includes four short double-helical elements and three loops (D, anti-codon, and T loops). Lineage: Eukaryota; Fungi; Ascomycota; Dothideomycetes; Pleosporales; Periconiaceae. The record is from Rfam by way of RNAcentral.
GCCCGUUUGGCUAAGUGGUAUAGCGUCUCACUAGUAUACUACUUAUCGGUUCCAAGCUAUGAGAAGAUCACUGGUUCGAUUCCAGUAAUGGGCA